RNAcentral lists this ribosomal RNA (405 nucleotides) under uncultured bacterium. Its description in RNAcentral is "partial 16S ribosomal RNA". It matches the Rfam family "Bacterial small subunit ribosomal RNA", at positions 29 to 526 of the family's 1533-position model. The record is from RNAcentral.
AUUGAACGCUGGCGGCAGGCCUAACACAUGCAAGUCGAACGAGUGGCGGACGGGUGAGUAAUGUCUGGGAAACUGCCCGAUGGGGGGGGAAAAUAAGGGGAACGGUAGCUAAAAACCCACACCAAUGGUUUGGCCCAAAUGGGAUUAGGUAGUAGGUGGGGUAAAGGCUCACCUAGGCGACGAUCCCUAGCUGGUCUGAGAGGAUGACCAGCCACACUGGAACGGAGACAUGGUCCAGACUCCUACGGGAGGCAGCAGUGGGGAAUAUUGCACAAUGGGCGCAAGCCGGAUGCAGCCAUGCCGCGUGUAUGAAGAAGGCCUUCGGGUUGUAAAGUACUUUCAGCGAGGAGGCGUUACUCGCAGAAGAAGCACCGGCUAACUCCGUGCCAGCCGCCGCGGUAAUAC